CUGCUGUGCUCCGGGAGGACGUCUGGGUCCUGCUGCAGCCUCCCCGGGUGGGUUUGAGACGCGGGCGAUGCCUGCCGAGGUCCGCGUUUUCUGGGUGCACAGAGCCUCCCUGCGCCGUCCCUCUCCUCCCACCCUACAUGGUGGAGCAGGAUUGUGCGUCUGCCUCCUUCAUUUCCGCCAGGACAGAGGAGUCUUAAGGUCUGCUCUGCAGGCAGCGCAGCUCCCCACCUCCUGGCCGCCAGGUUUCUUUGCAGGCGGACACAGUUGCCCCUCUGCAGGCCAUGGGAGAGAGAAGGGCCCGGCCCAGGGAGAGCGAACUUCCAAACGCAAACUGCCGUUUCCCUAUAUUUGCAAAGCUUGCCUCAAAGCAGGCGAACAGCUUACAGGUGUGGCGCCAAAGGCACUUGCGGCUUGGACUCAAGGCCUCCUCUUGGGCACGCGUGCGAGCGCUUGGUAAACGCGGGGGACAGGGGUCUGGUGGCCGUGGCUGUGACUGUCUGUGAGGCUCGGCUUUUUGUGGGGAAUCAGCGGGCUUUUCAAAGGCUGGCUUUGACCUGCAACCGCGGAGAAACAGGCAGUUUCAGGACCGAACUCUGCCGGCUCCUAAGGCCAAACUCUGUCCUUAUCCUGUUACCUGAAAUCCUAUUAUUUGUCGAGCUUUAAUGGCAACUGGAGGGGAUAAACAGCAAGAUGUGUUCACUGUUCUGUUGCUUAUUUGAAUACAUCGCUGAGAACAGAGCUUUGCGACACGGGGGCAAAGGGCGGGUGUGUUUUGAAAUAGGAGAAGGGGGCACAGGUGACCACAAGCCCGAGGGCAGCUCCCUGCAAGAGGAGCAGGAGCCGGGGAAGGAAGGACUGGAUCCUCAGAGCUCGUGGCUAAAGCUGACCGAGGUGCACGGGAAUUUAUGGAAGGCAUUAACGAGUUCAGUGUUCAAUACAGUUUCCACGCUGGGAAAUUCAGGCUGUGGCUUCGGAGGGAUGGGGAUUUCCGUGCGGUUCGUUUUACCCAGGGCCCAAAACUUUCCCUGUCCCCCAGGUGCUCGGGGGACCAGGGACAGCCGACUGCAGCAGCCCUGGGGAAGCUCCGGGAGGGAGGGCCUGGACCAGGUUGGCGUGGGCUGGUCUGAGAGAGCCGGGAAGCUGCACCUGAGUCACAAGCCCCCGCCUCACACAGGGGAGCUGGACAGCACAGUGUGGGAUGAGAAUGGCGGCAAAGCUACGUGGAGAUGUGGGCUAUGA
This 1239-nucleotide long non-coding RNA is filed under the name Fukomys damarensis (Damara mole-rat). Its description in RNAcentral is "lncRNA (ENSFDAG00000030467.1)". Lineage: Eukaryota; Metazoa; Chordata; Mammalia; Rodentia; Bathyergidae. The record is from RNAcentral.